UCCAGUGUAUAUCACCCUGCAGCCCCAAGACUGGUUACUCACUAAAGCUAAGCAGGGCUGAGUCUGGUCAGUACCUGGAUGGGAGACCACAUGGGAAAAUCAGGUUGCUGUUGGAA
Molecule: ribosomal RNA, 116 nt
Organism: Danio rerio (zebrafish)
Lineage: Eukaryota; Metazoa; Chordata; Actinopteri; Cypriniformes; Danionidae
Source: Ensembl